Molecule: small RNA, 148 nt
Filed under: Callithrix jacchus (white-tufted-ear marmoset)
Lineage: Eukaryota; Metazoa; Chordata; Mammalia; Primates; Cebidae
Description: Metazoan signal recognition particle RNA (ENSCJAG00000077301.1)
Rfam family: Metazoan signal recognition particle RNA
About the family: The signal recognition particle (SRP) is a universally conserved ribonucleoprotein. It is involved in the co-translational targeting of proteins to membranes. The eukaryotic SRP consists of a 300-nucleotide 7S RNA and six proteins: SRPs 72, 68, 54, 19, 14, and 9.
Source: Rfam by way of RNAcentral
GCCGGGCAUGGUGGCACGUGCCUGUAAUCCCAGCUACUUGGGAGGCCGAGACAGGAGAAUCGCUAGAACCCAGGAGGCGGAGGUUGCAGUGAGCCAAGAUCAUGCCACUGCACUCCAGCCUGGGUGACAGAGCGAGACUCUGUCUCAA